CUUCAACGACCCCAGCCAGAGCGGCUCCACCCGGUCCCGGCCGUACGUCGCCAACAACGCCCGCGCCUC
RNAcentral lists this antisense RNA (69 nucleotides) under Saccharothrix sp. ST-888. Its description in RNAcentral is "ASpks TB sRNA". It matches the Rfam family "ASpks TB sRNA". Lineage: Bacteria; Bacillati; Actinomycetota; Actinomycetes; Pseudonocardiales; Pseudonocardiaceae. The record is from Rfam by way of RNAcentral.